AGCUAACGCGUUAAAUCGACCGCCUGGGGAGUACGGCCGCAAGGUUAAAACUCAAAUGAAUUGACGGGGGCCCGCACAAGCGGUGGAGCAUGUGGUUUAAUUCGAUGCAACGCGAAGAACCUUACCUACUCUUGACAUCCAGAGAACUUUCCAGAGAUGGAUUGGUGCCUUCGGGAACUCUGAGACAGGUGCUGCAUGGCUGUCGUCAGCUCGUGUUGUGAAAUGUUGGGUUAAGUCCCGCAACGAGCGCAACCCUUAUCCUUUGUUGCCAGCGGUUCGGCCGGGAACUCAAAGGAGACUGCCAGUGAUAAACUGGAGGAAGGUGGGGAUGACGUCAAGUCAUCAUGGCCCUUACGAGUAGGGCUACACACGUGCUACAAUGGCAUAUACAAAGAGAAGCGACCUCGCGAGAGCAAGCGGACCUCAUAAAGUAUGUCGUAGUCCGGAUUGGAGUCUGCAACUCGACUCCAUGAAGUCGGAAACGCUAGUAAUCGUAGAUCAGAAUGCUACGGUGAAUACGUUCCCGGGCCUUGUACACACCGCCCGUCACACCAUGGGAGUGGGUUGCAAAAGAAGUAGGUAGCUUAACCUUCGGGAGGGCGCUUACCACUUUGUGAUUCAUGACUGGGGUG
This 632-nucleotide ribosomal RNA is filed under the name uncultured Serratia sp. Its description in RNAcentral is "bacterial SSU rRNA". It matches the Rfam family "Bacterial small subunit ribosomal RNA", at positions 850 to 1482 of the family's 1533-position model. Lineage: Bacteria; Pseudomonadati; Pseudomonadota; Gammaproteobacteria; Enterobacterales; Yersiniaceae. The record is from RNAcentral.